CCCCAAUCCUUCUACGUAGUCCCUCUGAGCAGCUCAGGGUAACGGGAAAUGGAUGCUGAAUGUCAGUCCAUGAUGCUUUGUCUCCAUUGCUCCUUCAUGUUAACCCUCUGCCCCAGCUCCAGAUGGUGUCCCUCCCACGGGAUGCCGUCCUUCCUGAACUGAACCUGAGGGGUCUGCCCACAGGCAGCAGCUCUUCAAGAACUGCUCCCACACGGCUCCGUACCACGGGGUCCAUCCCCCAGGAGCAAACUGCUCCAGCACGGGUCCCCCACGGGCGGCAGCUCCCCCCAGACCCCCUGCUCCUGCGGGGGCUCCUCUCCACGGGCUGCAGCUCCGGCCCGGGGCCUGCUCCUGCGGGGGCUCUCCAUGGGCCGCAGCCUCCUCCAGGCCACAUCCACCUGCUCCACCGGGGGCUCCUCCACGGGCUGCAGCGUGGAGAUCUGCUCCGUGUGGGACCCAUGGGCUGCAGGGGGACAGCCUGCUCCACCAGGGGCCUCUCUACAGGCCUCAGGGGAACUUCUGCGUGUGCCUGGAGCACCUCCUGCCCUCCUGCACUGACCUUGGGUGCUGCGGAGUUCUUGGAGGCAGAUGGAAGUGGGGCACUGCCAAAAUCUUGCCAUGCAUUCAUUUGUGCCCCCAUUGUCAGAGGAACACAGUGUUAGAAGGACACCCAGGAGAUGAAAUAAUUGUCUUUUAAGGUGAAAGUAUCCCUGGAUUUCCUCUUUCCUCUGGGAGAGGUGGAAGCUGCAUUUAUGAUCUGUGGUCACAGUUCCUGCUAUAAAGCUCCUUAUCCAAAACUAUCUAAGUUUACCUGCUGUGUCAGUGGAAAGAAUUUUAUUCAGUAUCUUCAUCUGAAAUCCUAAUAUCACCAGCAUCAAAAACUCACAUGUAUACAUGAACUUGGGUGGCAAUAUUUUAGUGCAAAUCAGGUAAACUCAUAGUUAAGAGGAAAAAAAAAGGGAAAAACAAACACAAACCUUUUGUUUCAUUUUAAUUGGCAAUAUAAAAUAUUUAAGAAUGCUAUUUUUCACAGUAUCAGCACUUGUAAUUCCUAAAUUAGCAUAAUCUUUGUAAAUAGAAUAAGCUUCUUAAAAGUACAAAAAAACGUAUCUUAUAUUUGGACAUGAUAUCACUAGGCAGAUCUAGUUUCCUUUUUCACUCUGCUUAAGAUGAUUUUCUGCAGAAGAAUUAUUUUUACAAGAUUUUAUACUAAAGUAGCGAGAACAUAGAAUACAUUUCUCUGCAUUUCCUGACCUUCAUGCCUCACAGAGACUGCAAAUUCUGCUUGAUAUUUAAAAUAUCCUGACAUCGACUACACCAUUACUUCCAACCAGCUAUGUCAGUAGCAUCAGCACUAAGUGUUUAUCUUAUUUCUGUCCUUUCAGCAGCAGAGUUCAGCUGGUUACCAGUGACCUCUGCUAUUCCGUAUUCCUGCCCGCUGAACAUCCACAACCUAAAUUCUUCUCAUUAGCUUGUCUGUACAUUUUAGUGUUCAAAAUUAGCACCUGAACACAGUUCUGUGGGGUCUAUGGGGAACAAACUUCAGGUAAAUAAACAUCUUGUGCUGAGCA
Anser brachyrhynchus (Pink-footed goose) is the source of this 1571-nucleotide long non-coding RNA. Lineage: Eukaryota; Metazoa; Chordata; Aves; Anseriformes; Anatidae. The record is from Ensembl.